UACGUAGGGGGCAAGCGUUGUCCGGAUUUAUUGGGCGUAAAGAGCGUGUAGGCGGCCAUACAGGUCAGCUGUGAAAACUCGAGGCUCAACCUCGAGACGUCGGUUGAAACCGUAUGGCUAGAGUCCGGAAGAGGAGAGUGGAAUUCCCGGUGUAGCGGUGAAAUGCGCAGAUAUCGGGAAGAACACCCGUGGCGAAGGCGGCUCUCUGGCCCGAUACUGACGCUGAGGCACGAAAGCGUGGGGAGCAAACAGG
RNAcentral lists this ribosomal RNA (253 nucleotides) under uncultured bacterium. RNAcentral's name for it is "partial 16S ribosomal RNA". It matches the Rfam family "Bacterial small subunit ribosomal RNA", at positions 524 to 776 of the family's 1533-position model. The record is from RNAcentral.